CUCCCUGUGUGUUACUUGGGCCUAAGGAGCAAAGGAGCAUGCAGCAGGGUGAUGAUAAAGUCGUGAAUGUAGCACAUGGCUUUGGCACCAUAUUAUUCCUUCCCACAGUGGGUCGUCUAAUUAACAAAGGCAUCAGGCCGCCUCCCUUCAUGCCAGGAGACCCGCCGCAAAUUUCAGCUUAAUCAACUUUCACUCAAUUGGUGCACCUCCAAAGAGUAUCAAGACUUCAAUAAUUGCUCAAUUGUUAAGGAAUUAUUAAAUAGAUUUUGUGCGGAAAUGAAGUUUCAUGUAAUACCUUUGCAUCAUCAGAAUCUAAGCUUAUGUUCCUGGGCAAUUCUCUCUACCCCUAUGUUUCUCAGUGGCUUUUUCACCCAGUGCUAUUUUUAUCCAGCACAGAGGAACAAAUACAUAAAAGAAAUCUCAAUUUGUUAAAACCCGAUAUUAUGGCGUAAUGACUAGAUUCGACAAUGAACUGACUUUUGAAUUUUAGUGAGUGGUAAAUGAACGGAUUGGAAGCUGCUGCUUUUAGAAAUGGGCUCCUUCUGUUCCUCUAUUCUAAAUGUUAUACUAGAUGGAAAGUUAUUUUGCAGGUAUAGUCCUUUGCCUGAAGGUUGCUUUUAAUUUACUUGAAAUGGUGGUUCUUUUCCUUCCUUCCAUUAAAGCUUUCUUUCUAUUCAAGUCUAGAGCAUUGAAAAACCAUAGCUAAGUAUUUAGAUCCUUUGUGACUUACAGGUUUUAUGUAUAUAUUCAACCUGUAGUAAGCCAGCAAGUAUUUCCCUUCCCAGACAAGGAGAAAUAUUGUCUACAAGGAAAUGCAAAGUUCAGUGAGGCUUAAUGAAUUUCAUGAAGCCUUAGGAAAGUGAGAUAUCACAGAUGACUUUCUUUUCUCUUCUGUUCAUUUCUUUUCCCUUCUCUUCUCUUCUUUCUUUUUUUGAAUGCAGGAAACCAGAUAAACUAUUACUUAUAUCAGUGCUUAAACAGAAGAUCAGAAGAUUCCGGUUAAACUAAUCAAACUAAUCAAAGCAAUUAAGUAGACAGACAAGACUGACAGAGAAGACAGAUGACCAAAAACAAACAAACAAACAAAAUAAAACCCAAACUCCUCUUAUUUUAACCCUGUUCUACAAACUGGACAGAGAUGGCUCCUUCUUCAUUGGUUUUCCUUGGGAAUGAGAAAGCCUUUUUGUAAAGAAAUAGCAGCCUCCCUUUGCCUUCCUGGCUGCAAAUUUGUGGUAUGGAAGUAACAGUCCUUACACCUUGAGAACAAGAAGUAGUUCACACUGAUCAAUCUUACUUGAUUUAUUAGAAAAAUAAGAAAGUUCACUUUCCUUAUUUACAAAGUAUAUCUAUCAUUCAUCUUUAUGUUGAGAGGUAGUAUCAUUAGAGAAAAACUUACAAAAAAGAAAGUGGCCUUGGAUUUUAGUCCUUGGCUCCUAGCAGCUGUAUAACCUGGUAAGAUACUAAAUUCCUUUGGCUUUCACUUGUCUGAUCUAUGUAAUUGGAAUAAUAUUUUUGGACCAGAAAAUAGAAACUGAGAAAAGACAAGGCCUUCAUGUUCCUUCUAGAUAUACAUGCAGUUUUUAUGAUGGGCAGUUACCACUAAUAUUAUCAGGUCUGAGUUAAGAUUCAGGACUUCUCAUGUGCUAUGAAAAAACGAGGCUUCAUGCUAGAUAAUGAAAUAAAAGAAAAGUGAGGAAAGUCCUAAUGGUUAUCCAGCUUUAUCUCCAAAAGCAUUUCAAAACUCUCAGAAAAACAAAAAUGAACUUUUUUGGACAGUUGCUAAAUUGAUGGGGAUACCUGAUUAAAUCUGCAUGUUGCUGGCUUACUGGGUUGAUUACUGUUGCCCAUUUGUCUCUUUCUGGUAUCCUAAGUGAAUAUGUAGAGCAAAACCUCAUUUAUUUCCCCAGGUAAAUACAGCUAACUUUUAACUAACCAAGGAUGGACUUGCCACAUUUCUGGCAUGCUAAUCAAUCUAACUAAGGGUUUAAAAUAAUUUGUUGAACUCAUUUUUUUUUUUGUUUUGUUUUGUUUUGUUUCGUUUUUUUCAUUUUUCUCCUUCUCAUGGAGAAGGUGGAAACCUGCAAUCCACCUGGAUACUUAAGAAACAGGAUACCUAAUUACUGUUCCAGUUCUGUGGCUAUAUAGCAAACUAUCCCUAAAUUUACUGGCAUAAAACAAUGAUUUAUUAGGCUUAUUGAUUCUGUGGGUCAGAGGUUCAGUCAGAGCACCAUGGGGGACAGUUUGUCUCUACUCUAUGUUUGAGGUUUCAGGUGAAAGACUUGAAAAACUGUAAGAUGGGAUCAUUUGAAGUUUUCCAACUCACAUUUCUAGCAGUUGAUGAUGACUGUAGGCUGAAACUUAGCUGGGACUACUGACCAGAACACUUGCACAUGACCUCUCCAUGUGGUAUAUGUGGUAUGGGCUUCCACAAAACAUGCCAUGAGUCCUGAGCAGAUGUUGUAUCUUCUUGAUUUGGGUAGUCAUAUAAGAUCCCUUCCUUCCGACUCUAUUUGAGCAGUCAUCAGCCCAACAAGUUCAAGGGAAGAGGAAACAGACUCCAUUUCUUCCUGAGGAGACCAAAGAUUCUAAAAGAACAUGUAGGACUUCAAAUAUUGCUGUGCUCACUUCUGGAAAAUGCAGUCUGCCACAAUUACUUUCCCCUCGACAUCGAGAAGUUGUGAAAUAGAUACAGCCAAGUUAAUAUCCAAAGCAAAAAAUAAACUCCUAUUAAACAGUGCCUUGCUUCUACUUCAGAGUGGGGAGCUUUUCCUCUUGGGGAGAAAGGAAGAGGGAAAUGUUGUAUGCAGAGAGUCGUCUGUAACAAUUAGAUGGCUUGUAAAUUCUAAAAUAAAUUACUCCUGAAGUAAAUGCAAAUAUCAAAACCACAUGGCAACAUCAAAUUCAAAUUUUUUUUUUUUGGAUGGAUUUUUCAAAACCUCAAUUUUACUCCAUUGGACUGGAUAGUCUAGUUGCUGAUUUUUCUUCCAAUUCCCCAGGGUUAAAGAUGGUCCUAGUAAUGGUGUUUUCAAAGGAAAUGAAUGUGGUAACCACCUUCUAUCUCUAGUCAGGCUUCUAACUAUCUACUAACUUUGGAGAGUCUUCACUGGGAUCAGAGACAAUUUUUGAGUUAGUCAUUCAUUUGUUCAUUUAUUCAUUCAUUCAACCCAUAUUUGUUUAAUAUGUAGCAUGUGCAAGGCAUGCUAACUAUUAUUUUCUAUGUCAAACACAACGAUUGAUAAAAACAGGGUCCACUUUCAAUAGUUAUCAUAGCUAUAAUAAUAUUAAGCACUUAGUAUAUGCUGACAUUGUGCUAAUGCUUUAUAGCAUGAAUUAAGGCAGGCAUAAUUAUCACCCAUUUUACAGUUGAGCAAACAAUUUAGCAAAGCUGAUUUCCUGCCUAAGUCUGUAUAGCUAGUUGGUAAAAAAAUCUUGGUAACACACUCAGCUUUGGUGGAUUGAAAAGCCUGUUUAUUGUUUGUUUGUUUGUUUUCAACUAAGCUAAGCUAUUUCUUUCAAGAACUUUUCUUAGUGGGGUGGGGGAAAGGAAAUAAGAUAUAUUUAUAAAUAACUAGUUCAAGGUGAAAUUUAUUAAGUAUCAAAAAAGCUAUAGGAGUUAGGUGAGGCUACUUCUUUGUGGAAUGAUUAGGAGGAAGCAUCAUAGAAGUGGUGGCAUUUGAAUUAGAACUUGAAGAACUAGUAGGCUUUUAAUACUUGGAGAUGGGAUAAAGGAGAAAACCUAAUGUUGAGAAAAUGUGACAAGAGUAUGAAGAGCAUGGAGACAUUUGAGGAAGAGCAAAUCAUACAAUUUAGAGAAAUCUAUGUCUGAGAAUUAACUUGUCAGAAGCUGGAAAUACAGAUAACGUUCUUAUGGUGAAAUAUCAGGUAUGGCAGCUAAUGGAAGUUCAAGUAGGAGUUCAGUAAAUGAUGGUGAAGCAAGAGAAGGCAUAUGAGUAGGGGGUGACAUGGACAAAUUGGAGCAUCAGGAGGAGGAAUCUGGCUGAGAUACCUAGGAUGGACUGAAGGAGUUUGAAGACAGCAGUGCUAGGAGGUUUGCAAUCACUUGGAAGAUGGUGAUGAGAGGAAAGACGCUAUUAGCACCGAGAGUUAAAAAGAGAGUGAAAUGUAUUGGCAUUUCCAUAAAAACUAACCGAAAGUCUGGAGUCCAAAGUAGAGCCAUUUGUUAGCCCUACGUUUCUCACCAACUGACCCGUUGCUCAGUUGAAGUAAUUUGCCUCUUCCUUCAAAUUAUCUCUUUUUUAUUUUAUUAACUCAUAGUCUCAGGGGGCCCCCACUGAGCACCUGCUUCUAAUUUGGAAAUGUGUUGUCUUGGCUCUUGUUGAGACUCUUCUGCAUUUGAAAGUUUGUUUUCUAUUCUGUUUAUUUGGAUUAAAUGCUGUACUGUUAGACUUCGUACAAGUCACACGCCCUGACUACAAAGUCAGAAAAUAGUAUGAGAUCACCGAAAGCACAGAAUUGCUGGUCAGUGUUGUUCAGAGCAAGAGGCAGGAAGGGAUAACAGUGAAAUGUUGUGAGCAGUUUUGUAGAAGAGGCUUAUCCAAUUUUUGCCCCUGAAAUAGUUCCGAUUUUUUUUUUAAAAAAAGAAAUGAUGUGCCUGGUUCAUUCUGUUAACAUUUCCCUGUUCCUGUGCCCCUCAAGGUAGGUCUGUGCACAUGGAGAGGUUAAUAUUAAUAUUGCCUUUUUACAGCUAAAUUAUCUGGCUCUAGAACCAUUCACAGAUUCUAUUAAAGACCCCUAUGGAGGAUUGCUUCUUCAAAUAGGCAUUUUAAUUCACCCGGGUACAAUAAGGUGUUACCUUGCUUUCAUUAAUAAAAUGGGAACUCAUAAAGAAAACCAGAUUAUCUUGAAUUUAUGAUCAAGUAAUUUUGUUUCUCUUAGCCUGGAUAAUAAUUGUGAAACAUCAUUUUCCCCUUUCUUUCUUUUUCCCUUCAUACACUUCGACAUUCUUAAUUUCUCAUGUUUAUUUAUCUUUUUUAUUUUAAUUUGACAGGAAAAGCUAUCUAGGACCCCAGGAGGCAGAUGCUGUGACUCAAGAAUUGGUCCUUUCCAUCUUGAACUUAAUGAAAUAAUAAGCCAGUAAUUGAUUUAUAUUUAUAUUUACAUUUGCCUUACAAAUUCUGGGAUUUUGUCACCUUUAUUGUAAUUCUAUAAGCAGUCACUAAAUUACUUCCAAUAAACUCUAUUUCUCCUUUACCUACUCAGUGAUUGAAGUCCUUUAUCGUAGUCUAGGGGCUUUGUUCUUCCCUCUAGUUUCUCAUGUCAUUUUUCCUCACCUCAAAUCUUAGUUUUCAUUUUAAAUUGUUAAUGAAUUAUUUUUGGCCUCAAAUUCUUUGUACCUUUAUCAACAGAGUGUGUGCUGCAAACAGUCUAGUUUUGUGGCUUUCUGUUUUCUGCUUGAUGACAUCUCAGGUAUUCUGGGGAAGAUAGGCUUCUGUCAUUACUAACAAUUUAGGACACAAUUCGGAAAUGAGAAGUAAACAAGUGAGGCUUCUGAGCAUUCUAAUUGUCUCUCACAACACCUUGUCACCAAAACUAUGAUCUUCCUGGUCCUUUCAUUCAGACACUUGUUGCUUUGUCCAUGCUUAUGAAGGGGUGUACAUUAUCUGGUAAGAAGCAUCUACUGUGUGUCAGGUGCUUUUUCAUACAGCAUCUCACUUAAUUCCACAAUUUACAUAUCAAUGUUCUCAUUUUACAGAUGAGCAAUUCAAGCUGAGGUUGUAAAUUAUCGAAACCACUACAGCUAGUAAGUGGCAGUACCAGAAUUUGUCCUGGAUCUGACUCCCAAAGCCAUGAUGUCAUUCUAUUUCACAGCACCUCAGGGUGCUGCAGUGAGCUGAGUCUUCUAAGAGAAAAUUAAAUUAUGUUCUGUGGCUUCA
RNAcentral lists this long non-coding RNA (5894 nucleotides) under Sus scrofa (pig). RNAcentral describes it as "lncRNA (ENSSSCG00000061848.1)". Lineage: Eukaryota; Metazoa; Chordata; Mammalia; Artiodactyla; Suidae. The record is from RNAcentral.